This 75-nucleotide transfer RNA is filed under the name Albula goreensis. RNAcentral describes it as "tRNA-OTHER". Lineage: Eukaryota; Metazoa; Chordata; Actinopteri; Albuliformes; Albulidae. The record is from RNAcentral.
GUGCCUGUAGUCCAGUGGCUAAGGUACAUGACUGGGACCCCUGAGGUUGGUGGUUCUAGCCCCAGUCCAGCCACA